Long non-coding RNA from Acinonyx jubatus (cheetah), 1647 nucleotides. RefSeq lists it as uncharacterized. NCBI's taxonomy places the organism in Eukaryota, Metazoa, Chordata, Mammalia, Carnivora, Felidae. The transcript has 2 exons. The record is from RefSeq and is a predicted model, not a curated record.
CUUUCUAUCCUCAGAGGAAAACAGAAUUACGUGCAAAAUCAUUAAAUGGCCCUUCUCAUGGCACUUUGGAGUUCCAUUUUACCUCAUCCUACAGCAAAAAUGUCUUCUAAGUACUUUGCCUCUUGGAAUAGUGCUUUUUUCUGCAUUGGGGACAGCAGCCAGAAGACCAAAAGAGCAUUCUUUACGUGGAAUCCGCCUUGCCUUUACCUUGACAAAGGAAUGCAUUAAAGAUGCUUUUGGCUACUGCAUCACCUGGAGUGAAGGGAGAAGAAAAUCAGCUACCUGGUGUAUCUCUGCUAUUCCCCAGAAACUGUUCCAGUCUCGCCCUCCGUCUCCUCCUUCAAUCCCACUUCUGAGCAAAAAACUUCUCACGCACCAGGGUCUUUAACACCACGAGUAGGAUCCAUGACUUCCCAUUGCUUCUCCUAGGGUACCAAAGGGCGCCCCUGCCCUGAACCAAAAAAAGUCUUCAGUCACUUGUAGGUUACUUUCAAACUGGGACAAGUCGUUGUAUGUGGCUCAUGCAGACCGCGAAGAACUGAAGGAAGAGUGAAAUGUUGAAGAGCUGGAGGAAGAAUCACUGUACCCUGACUCGUGUGACACUGUGGAUGAGCUGGGGGAUGGUCCCCAAAGCUUAAUCAAGAAGGCCAUCGAGGGUGGCGACAGUCGGGCCCCAGCUGCCUGCCUGAUUGCCACCUCAGGAUGGAAGGGUGGGCGAGGUAGGGUGAGGAGCAGAUGGGGGCAGUGAACGAGAACAAGUCACAUAUGUCAGGUAUUGUGCAGAUAUUACAGCACCUUUAACUCAGGAGCUGACCUCACUCCAUAGAAGAUGCUAUGCUGUCAUACACAACAAACCAAUCAGUAACACAGAUGAAAGAGGUAAAGGCUUAGUAUAAAAAUAAAAUAGAGCAGGGGUCAGCAAACGUUUUCUGUGAAGGGUUGGUAAAUAUUUUAGGCGUUGAAGGCUAUGUCUCUGUCACAACCACUCAACUCUGCCCGGGUAGCACCAAAGCGGUCACAGACAAUACGUAAAUGAAUGGGCUGUGUUCUAGUAAAGUCUAUUUAAAAAAAAUAGGCAACAGACAGACUAUGACUACAAGGCACAGCUUCUCUACCCCUGAAACAGGAAAUCUGCACAUAAACAUUUUAAGUACUCUCCCCAAUUACGCCUCAAGUACCCUCGGGUUACAGGGUGGCUCACACAAAUUGUGUUCAUCCUGAGAAUAUAAGCGCUUUUUUUUUUUAAUUAAAAAAUUUUUUUAAAUAUAAUUUAUUGUCAGAUUGGUUUCCAUACAACACCCAGUGCUCAUCCCAACAAGUGCCCUCCUCAAGGCCCAUCACCCACUUUCCCCUCUCGCCCACACCCCAUCAACCCUGUUUGUUCUUUGUAUUUAAGAGUCUCUUAUGGUUUGCCUCCCUCCCUCUCUGUUUGUAACUUUAUUUUUCCCCUUCCCCUCCCCCAUGGUCUUCUGUUAAGUUUCUCAAGAUCCACAUAUCCGAGAAUAUAAGCACUUUGUGGGCAGAAGUUUUAUUAUGUUCAUAACUACAUGCCCAGCACCUAGACGUGUACCUGGCAUGCAGCUGGCACAAACAGCUGCUCACAACAAACAUUUGUUGAAUGACUAAAUUAAUGAAAUGAGCACAUGA